UGGGGAAUAUUGCACAAUGGGGGAAACCCUGAUGCAGCGACGCCGCGUGAGCGAAGAAGGCUUUCGAGUCGUACAGCUCUGUCCUAUGAGAAGAUAAUGACGGUAUCAUAGGAGGAAGCCCUGGCUAAAUACGUGCCAGCAGCCGCGGUAAUACGUAUGGGGCGAGCGUUGUCCGGAAUUAUUGGGCGUAAAGGGUACGUAGGUGGUUUUUUAAGUCAGGUGUCAAAGCGUGGAGCUUAACUCCAUUAAGCACUUGAAACUGAAAGACUUGAGUGAAGGAGAGGAAAGUGGAAGUCCUAGUGUAGCGGUGAAAUGCGUAGAUAUUAGGAGGAAUACCGGUGGCGAAGUCGACUUUCUGGACUUUUACUGACGCUCAGGUACGAAAGCGUGGGGGGCAAACAGG
This 403-nucleotide ribosomal RNA is filed under the name Verrucomicrobiota bacterium. RNAcentral describes it as "Verrucomicrobia bacterium partial 16S ribosomal RNA". It matches the Rfam family "Bacterial small subunit ribosomal RNA", at positions 355 to 776 of the family's 1533-position model. Lineage: Bacteria; Pseudomonadati; Verrucomicrobiota. The record is from RNAcentral.